This 340-nucleotide ribosomal RNA is filed under the name uncultured Prevotella sp. RNAcentral describes it as "bacterial SSU rRNA". It matches the Rfam family "Bacterial small subunit ribosomal RNA", at positions 8 to 339 of the family's 1533-position model. The record is from RNAcentral. Lineage: Bacteria; Pseudomonadati; Bacteroidota; Bacteroidia; Bacteroidales; Prevotellaceae.
AGAGUUUGAUCUUGGCUCAGGAUGAACGCUAGCUACAGGCUUAACACAUGCAAGUCGAGGGGCAGCAUGAAGUUUGCUUGCAAACUUUGAUGGCGACCGGCGCACGGGUGAGUAACGCGUAUCCAACCUUCCCCAUAGUAGGGAAUAGCCCGGCGAAAGUCGGAUUAAUUCCCUAUGUUCUUGACAGCAGACAUCUAACGUCAAGCAAAGAUUCAUCGCUAUGGGAUGGGGAUGCGUCUGAUUAGGUUGUCGGCGGGGUAACGGCCCACCGAGCCUGCGAUCAGUAGGGGUUCUGAGAGGAAGGUCCCCCACAUUGGAACUGAGACACGGUCCAAACUCC